RNAcentral lists this long non-coding RNA (277 nucleotides) under Lathyrus oleraceus (garden pea). Its description in RNAcentral is "Pisum sativum (pea) long non-coding RNA (PSAT_LNC003045)". Lineage: Eukaryota; Viridiplantae; Streptophyta; Magnoliopsida; Fabales; Fabaceae. The record is from RNAcentral.
GACGGUUGUAGGCCAAACCAUCUUUCGUCUGUUUUGAAAUUUGAUUCUCCUUAACAUUAUUGGAUUUCUUCUUAUUUGAAAGAGGUUCUGAUGAGUAACUCAUGUUAUUUUUUCUUGAACUCAUUCUAUAUGCUAAUACAAUUUUUUUAAAUAUUUUCUUUAGGUAUAUACAUAUGAUUCAGGCAUGGCCUUUUAUACUGAUUAACCACAUGGAAUUCCUGGAAUAUGAAAUUUCAUUGUCAUAUUUAGUAUUUACUAGAAAGUUUUUAUACAUUUU